Molecule: ribosomal RNA, 253 nt
Filed under: uncultured bacterium
Lineage: Bacteria
Description: partial 16S ribosomal RNA
Rfam family: Bacterial small subunit ribosomal RNA
Source: RNAcentral
UACGUAGGGGGCCAGCGUUGCUCGGAAUUACUGGGCGUAAAGGGUUCGUAGGUGGUGCGGCAAGUUGGGAGUGAAAUCUCUGGGCUUAACUCAGAGGCUGCUUUCAAAACUGCCGCGCUCGAGUGCGAGAGAAGUCAGUGGAAUUGCAGGUGUAGCGGUGAAAUGCGUAGAUAUCUGGAGGAACACCGGUGGCGAAGGCGGCAUCCUGGACCGGCAUUGACGCUGAGGAGCGAAAGCCAGGGGAGCAAACGGG